This 242-nucleotide ribosomal RNA is filed under the name uncultured bacterium. Its description in RNAcentral is "partial 16S ribosomal RNA". It matches the Rfam family "Bacterial small subunit ribosomal RNA", at positions 90 to 334 of the family's 1533-position model. The record is from RNAcentral.
AGAGACCGGCGCACGGGUGCGUAACGCGUAUGCAACUUGCCUCUAUCACUGGGAUAGCCCGGGGAAACCCGGAUUAAUACCGGAUAUAUUUAGUAGUAACCUUACUAUUAAAUGAAAGAUUAUCGGAAAGAGAUAGGCAUGCGUAGGAUUAGUUAGUUGGUAAGGUAACGGCUUACCAAGACGAUGAUCCUUAGGGGGCCUGAGAGGGUGAUCCCCCACACUGGAACUGAGACACGGACCAG